UAGAAUCUAUUAUUGUAUGCUCACAGCACUCAGUCAAAUGUCUUACAGCAAUCAGAUGUUCAAUUAAUGUUUGUUGCUUGAUUGAUCAUAAUGGAUUAAUCACCAGUUUACAGUUUUAAGAGGACCUUCAGAAGUUAUCAAGUCAGAAAUCUAAAGGUCAGGAUACAUUGCGGGAAGAUGGCUGAAGAGGACAUGAAGUUUCCUUGCCCUCAUAAUAACCCUCACAAACAACCAAAAAUAAUUCCACAGACUAACAGCCGCAAAAACAGACAGAAUUCAGGAGUGAAGCUGAACAGCCAGGGGUGACUAUGGAGUAAGGUUCCUGAUAUCCUUGGUUUCAGUCCCACCACUUCAGGCCCAAUGGGCAGAAACAAAGGAAAUAGAGUGAAACAACAAGUUAGCCCCUGGGGGCAGGAUUGGCACUCUCCACUCAUUUACUGAGUUCCAGAACUUCCAUCACCAAGGAUACCAUGGGAAUCUGCAGGCUGCAGCAGUAAGAGAGGAGCCAUGGAGUAGGAAUGUGUACCCAUGAGUGUGGUAGCUGAAGAACUGGAGCCCAUCAGCUAUGGCCACUCCCAGAAGAAUAGUCUCUCUGGCAGCAGUCAGAGAAGCUAGUAGACUGGUUGCUUGCAUUUGAAGUGACAGAACUGUCCAUGGAUUUGGGAAUUUAUUUUCCAAGACAAACUCAGGAAUUGUAUGAACACAACUAUGAAACACUUUUCCUACAAAUAAAAUGAGAUCUAAAAAAAUUCAAAAAACA
This is a long non-coding RNA of Monodelphis domestica (gray short-tailed opossum), 760 nucleotides long. RefSeq lists it as uncharacterized. The record is from RefSeq and is a predicted model, not a curated record. Lineage: Eukaryota; Metazoa; Chordata; Mammalia; Didelphimorphia; Didelphidae.